CUUGGGCUGUAUUUAUGCAUUUGAAAGCAAGGAUAGGGGCCAGGAGAGCUGGGUUUUUGUUGCACUGUGGGUGGAAAACCCCAGCCCUCUGGGGUUCGGUCACUGCAGGCCUUCCUCUAUUUUCUCCCCGUGACUUCCCUAGCCUUUCUCAUGUAUUUGCAUGAUACUUCUGCAUAAAUGACUGUUAAAGGGACUGCACCAACUCCAGCAGGCACAAUUAACCUCCCAGCGAGGGUUACAAUCUCCCGUGUUAUCCAGCCAGACGGCCUGAUCCACGGUGACUGCCCUCAAAGGCACUGUGUUGUACCAGUUCUGGAAAGUCUUUGCUCCGUGAAUCCUCCACAGCUUCAGCAUCCCAAUCAACAGCAAAGUCAAGACAGGACAAGAAAAAAGCAACGUAGGGAAGAAGCGAAGAAUUCAGCUUUAGACUUCACACGCACUGCUCUUCGCUUUGAAAACCAACAGAUGAAUCCCCCUUUGAGAUGGAGAGGGGGAAAAAAAAAUAAUGUUUGAGCUUUUGAAAACGUUCCCUGCGUUAUUUGCUGAAUUUGACUUCAAGCCGCAAAUAUUCCGCUCUCCAUAAAGGGCAUGCAUCUUCUUAAGCAGGUUUACCUUUCAGCUCUAACCACCGCUGGUCCCUGGUGCUUGCAGAUACGUUUCGCCGACAGGACCAGGCUUUUCAGGAACAGCCUUUAGCAGUGUCCUGGGGGCUCACAUCAAGAGGAGAAAUGACUAGGUUCUCUCUGUUCUACUUCUGAACACCUGCCCCUUCCUUUCAAUGCUUCCCCCUGCCUCAAAGAGUAGCUAAGCUGUAGGUUUUCAAUGAUUUUGUGUCUUUAUCCUAUUUAUGCAUUGCAGGACAUUAGAAACAACUGAGAACUGAAUCUUUCUCUCAAAGUCACAGCACACAGUGUAAGGCCCCCAGACAUUUCCCUGCAGUCAAAAAUCUCCUGAUAUUUCAUACAUUAAAUCGAUAUAUGGAAGCUGUUCUUUUGCUGUUACAUUUUUUCACAAGCUAUGUAUUUACCCUUGCUAGGGCUCCUCAAAAAAAUGUGUCAGGGCUUCUGGCUCAUGCCAGCAGCGUGUGGUUUCUUGAGAGUGAGUCAUUGCAUUUGCAAGGCUUGAGCUUGAACUGGAAGCUGGAUUUCUGCGCUGUUCCUGGGGACUUGCCUACAGCCAAAAACUACUCCGAGACCCACAGCAGCGCUGGAUGGGACCAGGAGCUUCACAUGGUGCGCCUCUCUCCCCAGACACCAGCUUUUGGGAAUCCUCCAGCCCCAGCACUGGGUCACAAGAAACUUCCCAAGCUGACAGCAACCUGUUUCAGCUGCAAAAUUUGGGAAACACCGGGCCAAAGUAAUGCUAACAACACAAUAAUAAUUCUGCUGGGUGAGACGAGCUCUGCCUCCCAUUCCCUGGCGUUUGCCAGCACCCCAUGGCCAUGGGCGCAGAAACACUUCUGGCAAACUCCUCAUCCUGAAGCAUUUUUGCAAGCAGCUUUCCAGAUGCCAUUAGUCAGGACUGUCAGGGAGGGAGGACAAAGAGGUCGUUAGUGCUGAUUCAAUGCCCCAGGGCACGGGGGAUUAUUGCUGCUCACCUGGCCGCUGGGUAUGGCUCCAGCGCAAACACCUGCGGGGUCAAUGGGCUCAUCACUCACCUGCCACCAAUAUCUGAAUGUAGUUGUGGAGAGUUGCUUUUUUAUAUAAGGUUUCCUCACUUAAAUAUCUGAUGGAAGCAAACACAAGCUAAGCUGAUAUAAAGAGUGGUUCCUUGGAGCAGAUAUUCUCAGGCUAUUCUCUCCAUAUUCCCUACUCAUCACAAACUGCCUUCGUUAAGGAUAUGCUUGUGCUGAAACAUCUCAAUUUUGUCCUAAUGGGUGAGUGCUGUCUCUUUUUUAUUUAAUUUAUUUAUUUAUUUUGCCUGAUAUACUUGCAAAGUGCCUGGUGUCCUGCAGACCUGACUCACCGCAGUGGCCUUUUGCUGCUCAUACAAAAAUUGGGGGCAAUUCACGCUGAAGAAGCUUUGGGAUGAAUGAAAGCAAGGCAAACAAGGCCUAGGCUUGAAUCAGCAGGUUGUUUUUCUUAGCCUAUUCUCAAGAGAUGGUCACCCUCACGCCACCCAAACCUUGAGAAAAGUACCUCGUGCUGUGCACAGAAACAUCUCUUUGCACUGCACUGUGCUCCAAAGCUUCAGUGCUCC
RNAcentral lists this long non-coding RNA (2199 nucleotides) under Anas platyrhynchos (mallard). RNAcentral's name for it is "lncRNA (ENSAPLG00020017860.1)". The record is from RNAcentral. Lineage: Eukaryota; Metazoa; Chordata; Aves; Anseriformes; Anatidae.